GAGUUUGAUCAUGGCUCAGAUUGAACGCUGGCGGCAUGCCUUACACAUGCAAGUCGAACGGCAGCACGGGAGCUUGCUCCUGGUGGCGAGUGGCGAACGGGUGAGUAAUGCAUCGGAACGUAUCCUGGAGUGGGGGAUAACGUAGCGAAAGUUACGCUAAUACCGCAUAUUCUGUGAGCAGGAAAGCGGGGGACCUUCGGGCCUCGCGCUCUUGGAGCGGCCGAUGUCGGAUUAGCUAGUUGGUGAGGUAAAGGCUCACCAAGGCGACGAUCCGUAGCAGGUCUGAGAGGAUGAUCUGCCACACUGGAACUGAGACACGGUCCAGACUCCUACGGGAGGCAGCAGUGGGGAAUUUUGGACAAUGGGGGGCAACCCUGAUCCAGCCAUGCCGCGUGAGUGAAG
RNAcentral lists this ribosomal RNA (402 nucleotides) under bacterium enrichment culture clone ALO1_GLFRUDD03HHCMO. RNAcentral describes it as "bacterial SSU rRNA". It matches the Rfam family "Bacterial small subunit ribosomal RNA", at positions 9 to 410 of the family's 1533-position model. The record is from RNAcentral.